AAAAACAUAGCCUUUAGCAUCACAAGUAUUAAAGGUCUCGCCUGCCCAGUGAACAAUUAAACGGCCGCGGUAUCCUAACCGUGCAAAGGUAGCGUAAUCAUUUGUCCCCUAAAUAGGGACUCGCAUGAACGGCUAACUGAGGUUCUAACUGUCUCAUUAGACCAAUCAAUGAAACUGAUCUUUCAGUUCAAAAGCUGAAAUAAGAACAUAAGACGAGAAGACCCUGUGGAGCUUUAAAUCUACACUAUAAACCCACCCAACCCCCGAUAGGCACACACUUCAACCUUAAACCAUAGUAAAAUUUUUAGUUGGGGCGACUUUGGAACCCAAAAAAACUUCCAUGCCAGGGACCCACCCUAUCUAGGCAAACACGCCAAAACAACUUCUUAUUGACCCAGCCCUGCUGAGCAACGAACCAAGUUACCCCAGGGAUAACAGCGCCAUCCUCUUCAAGAGUCCCUAUCGACAAGAGGGUUUACGACCUCGAUGUUGGAUCAGGACCCCCAGGUGGUGUAACCGCUACCAAAGGUUCGUUUGUUCAACGAUUAAAGU
This 552-nucleotide ribosomal RNA is filed under the name Rhynchoedura ornata (Western beaked gecko). Its description in RNAcentral is "partial 16S ribosomal RNA". It matches the Rfam family "Bacterial large subunit ribosomal RNA", at positions 1809 to 2594 of the family's 2925-position model. Lineage: Eukaryota; Metazoa; Chordata; Lepidosauria; Squamata; Diplodactylidae. The record is from RNAcentral.